Molecule: ribosomal RNA, 301 nt
Filed under: uncultured bacterium
Lineage: Bacteria
Description: partial 16S ribosomal RNA
Rfam family: Bacterial small subunit ribosomal RNA
Source: RNAcentral
CAGCCGCCACGGUAAUACGUAGGUGGCAAGCGUUGUCCGGAAUUAUUGGGCGUAAAGCGCGCGCAGGUGGUUUAAUAAGUCUGAUGUGAAAGCCCACGGCUCAACCGUGGAGGGUCAUUGGAAACUGUUAAACUUGAGCGCAGGAGAGAAAAGUGGAAUUCCUAGUGUAGCGGUGAAAAGCGUAGAGAUUAGGAGGAACACCAGUGGCGAAGGCGGCUUUUUGGCCUGUAACUGACACUGAGGCGCGAAAGCGUGGGGAGCAAACAGGAUUAGAUACCCCUGUAGUCCCUGUCUCUUAUAA